RNAcentral lists this ribosomal RNA (457 nucleotides) under uncultured Sphingobacteriales bacterium. RNAcentral describes it as "bacterial SSU rRNA". It matches the Rfam family "Bacterial small subunit ribosomal RNA", at positions 924 to 1382 of the family's 1533-position model. Lineage: Bacteria; Pseudomonadati; Bacteroidota; Sphingobacteriia; Sphingobacteriales. The record is from RNAcentral.
CACAAGCGGUGGAGCAUGUGGUUUAAUUCGUAUGAUACGCGAGGAACCUUACCUGGGCUCAAAUGUAUGUUGACGUAUUCUGAAAGGGAUACUUCUUCGGACAAUAUACAAGGUGCUGCAUGGUUGUCGUCAGCUCGUGCCGUGAGGUGUCGGGUUAAGUCCCAUAACGAGCGCAACCCCUACCUUUAGUUGCCAUCAGGUUAAGCUGGGGACUCUAAAGGAACUGCCUACGCAAGUAGUGAGGAAGGCGGGGAUGACGUCAAAUCAGCACGGCCCUUACGUCCAGGGCUACACACGUGCUACAAUGGCCGAUACAGAGGGCAGCUACCUGGUGACAGGAUGCAAAUCUCCAAAGUCGGUCUCAGUUCGGAUCGGAGUCUGCAACCCGACUCCGUGAAGUUGGAUUCGCUAGUAAUCGCGCAUCAGCCAUGGCGCGGUGAAUACGUUCCCGGGCCUU